GUUGAGCUCACCUUAGGACACCUGCGUUAGAGUUUUACAGAUGUGCCGCCCCAGCCAAACUCCCCACCUGACUAUGUCUUCCGCACAGAUCAACCAUCAAAGGAGAUGACCUUAGAUCCAAAACUCGCUGUG
RNAcentral lists this ribosomal RNA (132 nucleotides) under Asterionellopsis glacialis. Its description in RNAcentral is "partial 5.8S ribosomal RNA". Lineage: Eukaryota; Bacillariophyta; Plagiogrammaphyceae; Rhaphoneidales; Asterionellopsidaceae. The record is from RNAcentral.